This 77-nucleotide transfer RNA is filed under the name Allomuricauda sp. TMED12. RNAcentral's name for it is "Muricauda sp. TMED12 tRNA-Pro". It matches the Rfam family "tRNA". From Rfam's summary of the family: Transfer RNA (tRNA) molecules are approximately 80 nucleotides in length. Their secondary structure includes four short double-helical elements and three loops (D, anti-codon, and T loops). Lineage: Bacteria; Pseudomonadati; Bacteroidota; Flavobacteriia; Flavobacteriales; Flavobacteriaceae. The record is from RNAcentral.
CGGGAUGUGGCGCAGUCUGGUAGCGUACGCGCAUGGGGUGCGCGUGGUCGCUGGUUCGAAUCCAGUCAUCCCGACGA